Molecule: ribosomal RNA, 578 nt
Filed under: uncultured bacterium
Lineage: Bacteria
Description: bacterial SSU rRNA
Rfam family: Bacterial small subunit ribosomal RNA
Source: RNAcentral
CCUACGGGAGGCAGCAGUGAGGAAUAUUGGACAAUGGGCGCAAGCCUGAUCCAGCCAUGCCGCGUGCAGGAAGAAGCAUCUAUGGUGUGUAAACUGCUUUUGUACAGGAAGAAACACUCCCUCGUGAGGGAGCUUGACGGUACUGUAAGAAUAAGGACCGGCUAACUCCGUGCCAGCAGCCGCGGUAAUACGGAGGGUCCGAGCGUUAUCCGGAAUCAUUGGGUUUAAAGGGUCCGUAGGCGGUUUAAUAAGUCAGUGGUGAAAUCUGGUCGCUCAACGAUCAAACGGCCAUUGAUACUGUUAGACUUGAAUUAUAAGGAAGUAACUAGAAUAUGUAGUGUAGCGGUGAAAUGCUUAGAUAUUACAUGGAAUACCAAUUGCGAAGGCAGGUUACUACUUAUGGAUUGACGCUGAUGGACGAAAGCGUGGGGAGCGAACAGGAUUAGAUACCCUGGUAGUCCACGCCGUAAACGAUAGGAUACUAGCUGUUCGGAGCAAUCUGAGUGGCUAAGCGAAAGUGAUAAGUAUCCACCUGGGGAAGUACGUUCGCAAGAAUUGAAACUUAAAUUGAAUUGAGG